AUGUUAACAUCGAGUGUAGGCUGGGAGCUGCCGCGGAUGCAAGAUGGUAUUCCACUGAGGACACGGGUGCUGCAGGGACCUCUGGGCUGUUGCACACUGGGUUCACUCAGUGGCCCAAGCUUCCUGUUUUUGCUGGCCUCCUCACUCAAAUCUGCCUUGAGUUCUUCCCUCUGUUUAACUGGAAUAACUGCUCUCUACCCUGGAGUACACUCUGAAAGGAAGGAAGUCUUACCAAAUGGUGAAAUUUUGAAGCUCUGCUACUGUCAUUACAGAGUACAGAAUGAAUUACAGGUUAUGAAAUGA
Molecule: long non-coding RNA, 303 nt
Filed under: Meleagris gallopavo (turkey)
Lineage: Eukaryota; Metazoa; Chordata; Aves; Galliformes; Phasianidae
Description: lncRNA (ENSMGAG00000020098.1)
Source: RNAcentral